UUGAUUAGGGUUGGUUUAGGGUUUAAGAUUUGGAUUAGGAUUUGAUUUAGGAUUUAGGAUUUAGAUUAGGAUUUGAUUUAGGAUUUAGAAUUUGGAUUAGUGUUUGGUUUAGGGUUUAAGAUUUGAUUUAGGGUUUGAUUUAGGAUUUAGAGUUUGAAUUAGGAUUUGAUUUAGGAUUUGGUUUAGGAUUUAGUAUUUGGAUUAGGAUUUGGUUAGGAUUUGAUUUAGGAUUAAGAGUUUGGAUUAGAGUUUAUUUUAGGAUUUAGAGUUUGAAUUAGGGUUUGGUUUAGAGUUUGAUUUAGGAUUUAGUAUUUAGAUUAGGAUUUGAUUAGGAUUUGGAUUAAGAUUUGAUUUAAGAUUUAGGAUUUGGAUUAGGAUUUGAUUUAGGAUUUGGAUUAGGAUUUGAUUUAGGAUUUGAUUUAAGGUUUAGUAUUUGAAUUAGGGUUUGGUUUAGAAUUUAGGAUUUAGUAUUUGGAUUAGGAUUUGGUUAAGGUUUGAUUUAAGAUUUGGAUUAGGAUUUGGUUAGGAUUUAUUUAGAGUUUGGUUUAGGAUUUAGGUUUUGAUUUAGGAUUUAAGAUUUAAUUAGUUUUGGUCUAAAGCUUCAAUUAAGUUCAAUAGGAUUUUAACUAGAAUUAAAUUAAGAUUGAAUUGAUAUAUAUUUCAGUGAUAUUUGUGAUUAUUCUAAUAUUUCUUUAAGAAUCCAUAUUGUUUGUUUGAAAUUUCUUUGAGAUUUUAUUUGAAUUUGAUUAAGCUUGCUUAGCAUUAUUAUAGUCUAAUUAGA
RNAcentral lists this long non-coding RNA (781 nucleotides) under Physcomitrium patens. Its description in RNAcentral is "long non-coding RNA (PPAT_LNC014667)". The record is from RNAcentral. Lineage: Eukaryota; Viridiplantae; Streptophyta; Bryopsida; Funariales; Funariaceae.